GCCUCGCUGGCUCAGUUGGUAGAGCUUGUGACUUUUGAUCUCAGGUUGUGAGUUCAAGCCCCACAUUGGGUG
Molecule: transfer RNA, 72 nt
Filed under: Ailuropoda melanoleuca (giant panda)
Lineage: Eukaryota; Metazoa; Chordata; Mammalia; Carnivora; Ursidae
Rfam family: tRNA
About the family: Transfer RNA (tRNA) molecules are approximately 80 nucleotides in length.
Source: Rfam by way of RNAcentral